This is a small nuclear RNA of Nannospalax galili (Upper Galilee mountains blind mole rat), 166 nucleotides long. Its record names the gene U1. It matches the Rfam family "U1 spliceosomal RNA". From Rfam's summary of the family: U1 is a small nuclear RNA (snRNA) component of the spliceosome (involved in pre-mRNA splicing). Its 5' end forms complementary base pairs with the 5' splice junction, thus defining the 5' donor site of an intron. There are significant differences in sequence and secondary structure between metazoan and yeast U1 snRNAs, the latter being much longer (568 nucleotides as compared to 164 nucleotides in human). The record is from Ensembl. Lineage: Eukaryota; Metazoa; Chordata; Mammalia; Rodentia; Spalacidae.
AUACUUACCUGGCAGGGGAAACGCCAUGAUCAAAAAGGUGGUUUUCAGAGGGCGAGGUACAUCCAUUGCACUUUGGGAUGUGCUGACCCCUGCGAUUUCCCCAAAUGUGGGAAACUCGACUGCAUAAUUUGUGGUGAUGGGGGAACUGCAUUUGUGCUUUCCCCUG